UUGUUACUAAAAUUAUGUAAUCUAUCAUCUGAAUCUUAUAAUUUGGACUAAAAUGGCCUAACAUAUUUAGGUUCACAUCUGGGAUCAGGAUCUUAUAAGAUUACAAAAUCUCCCUCCCUUUUUUUUUCUACUUCUUCUUAUUCCUUGUUCCCUUUCUAUUUUCUUCCUUUUCUUUCUUUUCUUUUGUUUCUUUUUUCUUUAUUUCCUUUACUCUUAUUUCCUUCCUUUCUCUUUUCUUUUUUUUUCUUCUUUCCAUUUAAACAUCCAUAAACCUUAAAAUAAUACUCAAAAAUAAAAAUAAAAAUAAAAAAAUGCUGCACCAAUAUUGAGCUGAUAUUUAUUCGUGGAUUGGGUGCCAGUAGUUGGGUACCAUGCUUCUAGUUUAUAGUAACAGUAAUCGAAGAUCGUGCAUUGCGUGAGACCGAAUAUACGAAAAUAAUUAUUCUUCUAAAUCAGAUCAGAUUGAAAAAAAUAUAUAUAAAUAAUAAAAUAAUAUUCAUUCAAAUUCUUAACGUCACUUCAUAUUCUCAACUAUCUAUAAAAAUAGGC
RNAcentral lists this long non-coding RNA (549 nucleotides) under Elaeis guineensis (African oil palm). RNAcentral's name for it is "long non-coding RNA (EGUI_LNC030801)". The record is from RNAcentral. Lineage: Eukaryota; Viridiplantae; Streptophyta; Magnoliopsida; Arecales; Arecaceae.